Molecule: unclassified non-coding RNA, 366 nt
Filed under: soil metagenome
Description: partial contains 5.8S ribosomal RNA, internal transcribed spacer 2, and large subunit ribosomal RNA
Rfam family: 5.8S ribosomal RNA (bases 1-122)
Source: RNAcentral
GAUGAAGAACGUAGCGAAAUGCAAUACUUGGUGUGAAUUGCAGAAUCCCGUGAACCAUCGAGUUUUUGAACGCAAGUUGCGCCCGAAGCCGUUAGGCCGAGGGCACGCCUGCCUGGGUGUCACACAUCGUUGCCCCAAUGCCAAUCGCCUCACUUUGUAGGUAUUUGCUUGGGGUGAAUGUUGGCCUCCCGUGAGCUUUGUCUCACGGUUGGUUGAAAAUCGAGUGCAUGGUGUCGGGUGUACCAUGAUGGAUGGUGGUUGAGUGAUGAUGCUCGGUGACCCACAUGCGUCCCUUGGAUGCUCCCUAAGGAGACCUCAGGUCAGGCGGGGCUACCCACUGAGUUUAAGCAUAUCAUAAGCGGAGGA